Molecule: long non-coding RNA, 283 nt
Filed under: Lathyrus oleraceus (garden pea)
Lineage: Eukaryota; Viridiplantae; Streptophyta; Magnoliopsida; Fabales; Fabaceae
Description: Pisum sativum (pea) long non-coding RNA (PSAT_LNC037818)
Source: RNAcentral
AGCAACAUUCUUUCUCGGCCUAUCUCCUAUUCAUGAUGAAUAUCCUCUAAGGAUUUUCAUAGAGGAUUUCUUUCGGAUGACGAUGAGCAAAAAGAAAAAAAAAGGGUUUAAAUGAUGUUUUUGUCGUGGGUACAUUUUUUGUUAUAAAGAGGAUGGAGGUAUGCGUGUUUUUUAUUAUUAUGGAGGUGUUAAAUUAUGAAGGUUUGGAUAUGCAGUGUAUGGUUUUAGUAUUGAAGAAUAAGAAAGAGAAUGGAGUGGUGGUUGGAAGUAAUGAGAGAGAAAA